UACAGAGGGGGCAAGCGUUGUUCGGAAUUACUGGGCGUAAAGGGCGCGUAGGCGGCCUUCUAAGUCGAACGUGAAAUCCCCGGGCUCAACCCGGGAACUGCGUCCGAUACUGGAAGGCUUGAAUCCGGGAGAGGGAUGCGGAAUUCCAGGUGUAGCGGUGAAAUGCGUAGAUAUCAGAAGGAACAUCAGUGGCGAAAGCGGCUUCCUGGACCAGAACUGACGAUCAGGCACGAAAGCGUGGGGAGCAAACAGG
RNAcentral lists this ribosomal RNA (253 nucleotides) under uncultured bacterium. RNAcentral describes it as "partial 16S ribosomal RNA". It matches the Rfam family "Bacterial small subunit ribosomal RNA", at positions 524 to 776 of the family's 1533-position model. The record is from RNAcentral.